Molecule: ribosomal RNA, 586 nt
Filed under: uncultured Pseudonocardia sp.
Lineage: Bacteria; Bacillati; Actinomycetota; Actinomycetes; Pseudonocardiales; Pseudonocardiaceae
Description: bacterial SSU rRNA
Rfam family: Bacterial small subunit ribosomal RNA
Source: RNAcentral
CGAAUUCGCCCUUCCUACGGGAGGCAGCAGUGGGGAAUAUUGCGCAAUGGGCGGAAGCCUGACGCAGCGACGCCGCGUGGGGGAUGACGGCCUUCGGGUUGUAAACCUCUUUCGACCUUGACGAAGCCUUUCGGGGUGACGGUAGGGGUAGAAGAAGCACCGGCCAACUACGUGCCAGCAGCCGCGGUAAUACGUAGGGUGCGAGCGUUGUCCGGAAUUAUUGGGCGUAAAGAGCUCGUAGGCGGUCUGUCGCGUCGGUCGUGAAAACUUGGGGCUUAACCCUGAGCUUGCGGUCGAUACGGGCAUGACUGGAGUUCGGCAGGGGAGACUGGAAUUCCUGGUGUAGCGGUGAAAUGCGCAGAUAUCAGGAGGAACACCGGUGGCGAAGGCGGGUCUCUGGGCCGAUACCGACGCUGAGGAGCGAAAGCGUGGGGAGCGAACAGGAUUAGAUACCCUGGUAGUCCACGCCGUAAACGGUGGGCGCUAGGUGUGGGGGCCAUUCCACGGUCUCUGUGCCGCAGCUAACGCAUUAAGCGCCCCGCCUGGGGAGUACGGCCGCAAGGCUAAAACUCAAAGGAAUUGACGG